GCGUAAAGAGCGCGUAGGUGGUUUGUUAAGUCUGGUGUGAAAGCCCACAGCUCAACUGUGGAACUGCAUCAGAAACUGACAAACUUGAGUGUGGGAGAGGAGAGUGGAAUUCCCAGUGUAGAGGUGAAAUUCGUAGAUAUUGGGAGGAACACCGGUGGCGAAGGCGGCUCUCUGGACCACAACUGACACUGAGGCGCGAAAGCUAGGGGAGCGAACGGGAUUAGAUACCCCGGUAGUCCUAGCCGUAAACGAUGGGCACUAGGUGUGGGGGGUAUUGACCCCUUCCGUGCCGCAGCUAACGCAUUAAGUGCCCCGCCUGGGGAGUACGGUCGCAAGACUAAAACUCAAAGGAAUUGACGGGGGCCCGCACAAGCGGUGGAGCAUGUGGUUUAAUUCGACGCAACGCGAAGAACCUUACCUGGGUUUGACAUCCCUUGACAACAGCAGAGUGCUGCUUUCCUUCGGGACAAGGAGACAGGUGCUGCAUGGCUGUCGUCAGCUCGUGUCGUGAGAUGUUGGGUUAAGUCCCGCAACGAGCGCAACCCAUGCCCUUAGUUGCCAGCGAGUAAUGUCGGGAACUCUAAGGGAACUGCCGGUGACAAACCGGAGGAAGGUGUGGAUGACGUCAAGUCCUCAUGGCCCUUAUGCCCAGGGCUACACACGUGCUACAAUGGCUGGUACA
Molecule: ribosomal RNA, 682 nt
Filed under: uncultured bacterium
Lineage: Bacteria
Description: bacterial SSU rRNA
Rfam family: Bacterial small subunit ribosomal RNA
Source: RNAcentral